Molecule: small nuclear RNA, 94 nt
Filed under: Neotoma lepida (desert woodrat)
Lineage: Eukaryota; Metazoa; Chordata; Mammalia; Rodentia; Cricetidae
Source: RNAcentral
GCACUUGUAUUAGUACCAAAAUUGGAAUAACACAUGAUUAGCAGGGUCCCUGUGCAAGGAAGACAUGAAACUUUGUGAAGGGUUGUGCAUUUUA